Molecule: ribosomal RNA, 805 nt
Filed under: uncultured bacterium
Lineage: Bacteria
Description: bacterial SSU rRNA
Rfam family: Bacterial small subunit ribosomal RNA
Source: RNAcentral
AGUCGAACGAGCAAAGAGGAGCUUGCUUCUCUGAGCGAGUGGCGAACGGGUGAGUAACGCGUGAGGAACCUGCCUCAAAGAGGGGGACAACAGUUGGAAACGACUGCUAAUACCGCAUAAGCCCACAGGUCGGCAUCGACCAGAGGGAAAAGGAGCAAUCCGCUUUGAGAUGGCCUCGCGUCCGAUUAGCUAGUUGGUGAGGUAAUGGCCCACCAAGGCAACGAUCGGUAGCCGGACUGAGAGGUUGAACGGCCACAUUGGGACUGAGACACGGCCCAGACUCCUACGGGAGGCAGCAGUGGGGAAUAUUGCACAAUGGGGGAAACCCUGAUGCAGCGACGCCGCGUGGAGGAAGAAGGUCUUCGGAUUGUAAACUCCUGUUGUUGAGGAAGAUAAUGACGGUACUCAACAAGGAAGUGACGGCUAACUACGUGCCAGCAGCCGCGGUAAAACGUAGGUCACAAGCGUUGUCCGGAAUUACUGGGUGUAAAGGGAGCGCAGGCGGGAAGACAAGUUGGAAGUGAAAUCCAUGGGCUCAACCCAUGAACUGCUUUCAAAACUGUUUUUCUUGAGUAGUGCAGAGGUAGGCGGAAUCCCCGGUGUAGCGGUGGAAUGCGUAGAUAUCGGGAGGAACACCAGUGGCGAAGGCGGCCUACUGGGCACCAACUGACGCUGAGGCUCGAAAGUGUGGGUAGCAAACAGGAUUAGAUACCCUGGUAGUCCACACCGUAAACGAUGAUUACUAGGUGUUGGAGGAUUGACCCCUUCAGUGCCGCAGUUAACACAAUAAGUAAUCCACCUGGGG